This 497-nucleotide ribosomal RNA is filed under the name uncultured bacterium. RNAcentral's name for it is "partial 16S ribosomal RNA". It matches the Rfam family "Bacterial small subunit ribosomal RNA", at positions 28 to 507 of the family's 1533-position model. The record is from RNAcentral.
GAUGAACGCUGGCGGCGUGCCUAAUACAUGCAAGUCGAGCGAACGGACGAGAAGCUUGCUUUUCUGAUGUUAGCGGCGGACGGGUGAGUAACACGUGGAUAACCUACCUAUAAGACUGGGAUAACUUCGGGAAACCGGAGCUAAUACCGGAUAAUAUUUUGAACCGCAUGGUUCAAAAGUGAAAGACGGUCUUGCUGUCACUUAUAGAUGGAUCCGCGCUGCAUUAGCUAGUUGGUAAGGUAACGGCUUACCAAGGCAACGAUGCAUAGGCGACCUGAGGGGGUGAUCGGCCACACUGGAACUGAGACACGGUCCAGACUCCUACGGGAGGCAGCAGUAGGGAAUCUUCCGCAAUAGGCGAAAGCAUGACGGAACAACGCCGCGUGAGUGAUGGAAGUCUUCGGAUCGUAAAACUCUGUUAUUAGGGAAGAACAGAUGUGUAAGUAACUGUGCACAUCUUGACGGUACCUAGUCAGAAAGCCACGGCUAACUACGUG